This 612-nucleotide ribosomal RNA is filed under the name Staphylococcus aureus. Its description in RNAcentral is "bacterial SSU rRNA". It matches the Rfam family "Bacterial small subunit ribosomal RNA", at positions 1 to 594 of the family's 1533-position model. The record is from RNAcentral. Lineage: Bacteria; Bacillati; Bacillota; Bacilli; Caryophanales; Staphylococcaceae.
UUUUAUGGAGAGUUUGAUCCUGGCUCAGGAUGAACGCUGGCGGCGUGCCUAAUACAUGCAAGUCGAGCGAACGGAUGAGAAGCUUGCUUCUCUGAUGUUAGCGGCGGACGGGUGAGUAACACGUGGAUAACCUACCUAUAAGACUGGGAUAACUUCGGGAAACCGGAGCUAAUACCGGAUAAUAUUUUGAACCGCAUGGUUCAAAAGUGAAAGACGGUCUUGCUGUCACUUAUAGAUGGAUCCGCGCUGCAUUAGCUAGUUGGUAAGGUAACGGCUUACCAAGGCAACGAUGCAUAGCCGACCUGAGAGGGUGAUCGGCCACACUGGAACUGAGACACGGUCCAGACUCCUACGGGAGGCAGCAGUAGGGAAUCUUCCGCAAUGGGCGAAAGCCUGACGGAGCAACGCCGCGUGAGUGAUGAAGGUCUUCGGAUCGUAAAACUCUGUUAUUAGGGAAGAACAUAUGUGUAAGUAACUGUGCACAUCUUGACGGUACCUAAUCAGAAAGCCACGGCUAACUACGUGCCAGCAGCCGCGGUAAUACGUAGGUGGCAAGCGUUAUCCGGAAUUAUUGGGCGUAAAGCGCGCGUAGGCGGUUUUUUAAGUCUGAUG